GGGGGGUGCUGCGGGGAAGGCGGGGGACCCGGGACUUCCAAGUGUUCUGGCCAUGGAGGCAUGAUAUCCGUAACAUCCCCCAAAGGAGCUAAAGAAGAAAUCCACAAUUUACCAUGAGCAUUUCUCGUCUAAUGAUUGCCAAGCGAUUCCUCCAGGACAUUCCUCAAGGUGAAAACCAUCCAUUUCUUGGAGAAGUGCCACGGUGGGGUUGCAAGUCCCAGGAUCAAGAUUUCGAUGUGUCUCUUUUUCCCGUAAAGUGGCUGAAAUCUGAAGCUGAAUCUGCAAGUGUCAUGGAGUCAUUGAAUCUCACAGUCUCAACUGAUAAAAGUUAUUAA
This 335-nucleotide long non-coding RNA is filed under the name Pan paniscus (pygmy chimpanzee). Its description in RNAcentral is "lncRNA (ENSPPAG00000044656.1)". Lineage: Eukaryota; Metazoa; Chordata; Mammalia; Primates; Hominidae. The record is from RNAcentral.